AUUGAACGCUGGCGGGAGGCCUAACACAUGCAAGUCGAACGAGUGGCGGACGGGUGAGUAAUGUCUCGGAAACUGCCUAAUGGCGGGGGAUAACUACUGGAAACGGUAGCUAAUACCGCAUACCAUCAGAUGUGCCCAUAUGGGAUUAGCUUGUUGGUGGGGUAACGGCUCACCAAGGCGACGAUCCCUAGCUGGUCUGAGAGGAGGACCAGCCACACUGGAAUUGAGACACGGCCCAGACUCCUACGGGAGGCAGCAGUGGGGAAUUUUGGACAAUGGGGGCAAGCCUGAUGCAGCCAUGCCGCGUGUAUGAAGAAGGCCUUCGGGUUGUAAAGUACUUUCAGCGGGGAGGCGGUAUCCGCAGAAUAAGCACCGGCUAACUACGUGCCAGCAGCCGCGGUAAUAG
This 406-nucleotide ribosomal RNA is filed under the name uncultured bacterium. RNAcentral's name for it is "partial 16S ribosomal RNA". It matches the Rfam family "Bacterial small subunit ribosomal RNA", at positions 30 to 526 of the family's 1533-position model. The record is from RNAcentral.